UCGAGAAUUUUUCUCAAUGGGCGAAAGCCUGAAGGAGCGACGCCGCGUGGGGGAUGAAGGGCUUCGGCUCGUAAACCCCUGUCAUUUGCGAACAAACCUUUUCAUCUAAUAAGUGAAAAGCUGAUAGUAGCGGAAGAGGAAGGGACGGCUAACUCUGUGCCAGCAGCCGCGGUAAUACAGAGGUCCCAAGCGUUGUUCGGAUUCACUGGGCGUAAAGGGUGCGUAGGUGGUGAGGCAAGUUCGGUGUGAAAUCUCCGGGCUCAACCCGGAAAUGGCAUUGAAAACUGCCCUGCUAGAGGGUUGGAAGGGAGACUGGAAUUCUUGGUGUAGCAGUGAAAUGCGUAGAUAUCAAGAGGAACACCAGUGGCGAAGGCGAGUCUCUGGACAACACCUGACACUGAGGCACGAAAGCUAGGGGAGCAAACAG
RNAcentral lists this ribosomal RNA (427 nucleotides) under uncultured bacterium. RNAcentral describes it as "bacterial SSU rRNA". It matches the Rfam family "Bacterial small subunit ribosomal RNA", at positions 355 to 775 of the family's 1533-position model. The record is from RNAcentral.